AAAAUAUAUAUAUAUAUUUUCACUGAAUCUUACUUUUCUUUUCCUUAGGUAACUGGCUAAAUUACAUUCCCCAGCCUCCUUAAAGCUAAAUGUUGACAUCUUGGGCAGCCUUGCAAGAGAGAUUUUGAAGAUGGUGACAUUUCUAUAAACCAUAGUUACAUUGAGAAGAUCCCCCAACCCUAUACAACCACCUACUGAACUUUACAUGAGCAAGAAAUCAGUCACCGUGCCCAGGAGUUCAAGUCCUACUUCCCAGGUCUUGUACCACUUCCCAGCUCUUAUCUGUUAGGAACAAGAGUAGUCAGAACCAGGGAUCUGAUGAGUCCCUAGAGCCAAGAGGGGAGCGAGGCCGCUGAUA
Molecule: long non-coding RNA, 358 nt
Organism: Myotis davidii
Lineage: Eukaryota; Metazoa; Chordata; Mammalia; Chiroptera; Vespertilionidae
Exons: 3
Source: RefSeq, a predicted model, not a curated record